Molecule: ribosomal RNA, 399 nt
Filed under: uncultured bacterium
Lineage: Bacteria
Description: partial 16S ribosomal RNA
Rfam family: Bacterial small subunit ribosomal RNA
Source: RNAcentral
AUACGUAGGAUCCGAGCAUUAUCCGGAGUGACUGGGUGUAAAGAGUUGCGUAGGUGGCAUAGUAAGUAGAUAGUGAAAUCUGGUGGCUCAACCAUUCAGACUAUUAUCUAAACUGCUAAGCUCGAGAGCGUUAGGGGUAGCUGGAAUUUCUAGUGUAGGCGUGAAAUCCGUAGAUAUUAGAAAGAACACCGAUAGCGUAGGCAGGCUACUGGGACGUUUCUGACACUAAGGCACGAAAGCGUGGGGAGCAAACGGGAUUAGAUACCCCGGUAGUCCACGCUGUAAACGAUGGAUGCUAGCAGUUCCGGGUAUCGACCCCCGAAGUUGCGAAGCUAACGCGUUAAGCAUCCCACCUGUGUAGUACGGCCGCAAGGCUAAAACUUAAAGGAAUUGACGGGG